This 317-nucleotide ribosomal RNA is filed under the name uncultured soil bacterium. RNAcentral describes it as "bacterial SSU rRNA". It matches the Rfam family "Bacterial small subunit ribosomal RNA", at positions 26 to 372 of the family's 1533-position model. The record is from RNAcentral.
AGAACGAACGCUGGCGGCAUGCCUAACACAUGCAAGUCGAACGAGACCUUCGGGUCUAGUGGCGCACGGGUGCGUAACGCGUGGGAAUCUGCCCUUGGGUUCGGAAUAACAGUUGGAAACGACUGCUAAUACCGGAUGAUGACGUAAGUCCAAAGAUUUAUCGCCCAGGGAUGAGCCCGCGUAGGAUUAGCUAGUUGGUGAGGUAAAGGCUCACCAAGGCGACGAUCCUUAGCUGGUCUGAGAGGAUGAUCAGCCACACUGGGACUGAGACACGGCCCAGACUCCUACGGGAGCAGCAGUGGGGAAUAUUGGACAAU